This 4337-nucleotide long non-coding RNA is filed under the name Fragaria vesca (wild strawberry). Its description in RNAcentral is "long non-coding RNA (FVES_LNC002783)". The record is from RNAcentral. Lineage: Eukaryota; Viridiplantae; Streptophyta; Magnoliopsida; Rosales; Rosaceae.
CUGGAAGUGAAUCAACCCCUUUGGAAACACAAACACUUCACCUUUGGCAAUGGUCUUUGAAAUGAGCUUGUUUGCUGUGGUAACGAACCCAACAUCCAACGAACCUUCAAGCACGAAGACUAUCUCGGUGGCGCGUGGGUGAGUGUGAGGUGGGUUGAUGCCUCCGGGAGCAUAGUCAAUUCUAGCCAUCGACACGCCGAGGGUGUUAAGACCUGGGAUCUUCUGCACAUUGGCUAAAGUCACCAAAGAGCCGAAGGUGUUGUUGGUGAGUCCUGGCUUGGCUAUUCCGGCAAAGAAGAAGUCCUCCGCUGUUGCAUUUGCCGCGUCCUUGCAAGCGAAACCAUUCAUUUUCGCCGCUGCUCAUUCAUCAUAUAAUCGUGUCAAAACUCAAAACUAGCUUCAAUCUUCAUUAAGAGACAAGCUAGAAGAAAUUAAUGAAAGGGUUUGUACCAGAAGCGAAGUCGGCGACGCAGAUAUCUUGAAGCAUGUCUGGAUCAGCAGCUGAGUUGCCGAAGACGAUGGCGAAAGUCAUCACUAACAGUGCCAACAUAGCCGCCAUGGUUGUGUUAGAUUUCAAAGAGAGAAACUUGGGAAUGUGGGAAAAGGUAGGAAUGAGUAGGAAGUGAUGGGCAAGGUUGAGUAUUUAUAGUGAAGGGUAGGGUAGUUGAACGUCGAUGGCAAAUAUAGUGACGACUGAAUCAAUGUUUUGGAUGUUAAGGUCGUGCUGUUGAGAAGUAAAGCAUGGAGCUUGCCAUUGUUUGUAGAGCUUAGACCAAAAGCUAAGUCAUCGAUCACUUUGCCUUGCCUCUCUGGUUUUUGGAGCGUUGACCCCAUUUGCGUCGCCUUGCGCGUCUAAAGGAUCUGACCCCUCUUGUUCUUAUCUUAAUUUCUUCUCUUUUUCUUUAGUAACAAGUGAUCGAAUUGUAGGGUGUCGAAUCUUGGCAACAACACUUGUCCAAUUCAAUUGGCUCUAUGCAUUGACAAAAUAUUUGUAAUAUGGUUUACGGUGGUGUCUAAGUUGAGUAAACGAAAUAAAGAAGAAAAGGGGGGAGAAUUAUUGAGAUUCCCUUAAAAAGAAAACAUGGAGGUAGGUUUAUUUCGUACGAGUUAGAUCAAGUGAAAUUUUCAUCUAGAAGAGGCAUAAGGUAAAGUUUCAUUGUUACUUGUGUCUUUUUACAAACACUGCAGAUAUCUGGUCCCGCAGGUAAAGAAUUUUUCUUUUUAUUAUCCAAGAAUGCAAAAUAGUUAGGUUUGAUUGUUGGAACACACUAUUGAUCGAGUAGUCAUUGAUAAAAAAAAGAAAUAAUUGAGAAGCUUGAACUCCUCAAUUACUUUUGAUGAGAACUUCUCAACAUAAUUUAGUCUAGCUUUUCCUAUUUGUGAUUAAUAGCCCGGUUGACAUGGUAUAGGUAUGAGAAUGAUCAUGUGGUUGUGUAUUCAUGCAAGUAAAUGUGUUGUGCGUUAUUUAUCGUGUUACAUCAUUCAAAGUAGGGUAUGAGCUACUUCAAUUUUAUAAUUGACCAUUUAUAAUCAACUCUCGAUGUAAAGGACUAGCUUCUGUUAUACAUAAUAGCACAAAUAAUUACAAUUUACCUAACUUUCCAUUAUUUCAUUAGAAUUUCUAUACGUCGAUCGAUCGACCAUAUUAGUUGCCCGGUUUGCGUUUGUUGUUGUUUUAUUUACCAGCUAAUAAGUAGUUAUAAUUAAAAACAUCUCAUGAUUAUAGUAAGGCCAGAAGUAUGAAGAUAGAUAUGGAUAUAUAUAUAUAUAUAUAUAUAUCUCACCAAUGAAAUAAAGACAACCAUUUAUUCAGCUCUCAAAGCAGCUGGUUCUAUGUAUUGUCCUGCAUGCAUGAAAUCUUAACACUAUUACACUAGUUAAUUAAGCUUGAUUAAGGAUAAGUUUCUUAAUAAACUUAUAUAUGCUAUAUAUAGACAAAAAUGCUGUUUAUAUAUAUAUAGCUCGAAUUUUUGCUAAGAGAGUGAGACAAAGGUUUUCCUUAUUGUUUGAUUUGGUUGGAGAAAUGUUAUAAUGUAUGGUUGCUAAGGUACGAUAAAUUGGAUGAUUGGCUCUAUACUCCAAACUAUAUGUCCUAUAGUUCGACUUCAUUUUGCAAACCAACCGAUCAUUCGCAUUUUCUUUUUGUUCGUACUCUGUCAUCUUUCGGAGGUUACUUCUACCAAUGUGGCUCUUCUGUUAUCUGUUUUGCAGUAGAGUCAUCAUUAUCGUACUCAUCAGCAACCAGCUCCUUAUUUAGUUGGAGGAUGCAUGGUCUCUAUCAUCAAUCAUGUUCUUUUAUAUCAAACUGCUACUUUCAAUAUAUUCUAAAGCAAAAAUUAUAAUCAAUGUAGGCUGCGAGUCUGUAACUGAUAUAAGCCUUGUCAACAUCUUAAUUAGGUAAGCUAAUCCGGAAAAGAGUAUAUGCCUUAAUUGUUUUAGAGAAUAUAUAUGUCCAAUUUAGACUUUAACCAGAUGUGGCGGGACGUCGUUUAAGCUCGACUUCCAGAAUACUAGCUUGUGAAGUUUACUUGUGAUUAUUAUUGAUUAACCGAGAUAAUAAAGAAUUUCCAUUAAGAAAAUCAGAUUUGUAUUCUGGUUUCUGCUUGGGUCAGUUGGGUGAUACACUGAUACUUCACUGUUUGUUAUGCUCUCUUCAACAUUUGGUAAUUAGUGAAUGUUAGAAUAUCUUGAGUUCAUUCAUCUGACCUCUAAUGGCAUUGACAUUCGAACAAUAACGUACUUGAAGUUUUUAUUCAAGUCAUGGAUCGAUCUCUGAUUGAAACUGAUUAAAAGAGUUGACUCUCCUACUCAUCCAAUUAUCCAAAUAAUAUGACUGGAUCAGGAUUAGGAUUGGAACCCUUCUUCCGGAGGAACACAGAUGCAUCAUUUUUAUGGAAAAUUCUGCUAUACCGAAUGGUAUAACAUCUCUUCAACCAACCGCCACCCCCUUUAGUUAGAUGUAUACGGUAUAGCAGACAAACCCAUUUUUAUAUGGAAAAGACAGAAUCUCAACACAUCUUCCGACUUCAUGUUCUACUUGUAUUUUAUUUUUUUAAUAUAAGAAUAAACUCAUGAACUAUAUAUCAAAAUAUUAAAGCAAUGGAAUUGAAUAUGUGCGAUUAGUACUUAAAAAGGAUAAUUUCCCUUAAGAUAAUAUAUUUUAGGUAGUACACUUAUAUAGAUAUUACGUUGUAGUACACAUGUCAAAAUGUUAGGUUCUUCCAUUUAGCAAUUUACACUAACUAGAUUGGCAAAUGGUCUAAUUCAAAUUGCUAAGAGUAGAAUUGGUCUCCUCAAAUCGGAAGCAAAUCUUCCUUUCUAUCUUUUCCUAAAAGGAAGAAGUAGCAGCUAGCUAAUUGAUCAUCAGAAUCUACUUCGAUCAAGAGCAAAAUUGUCCAACUCCAAUGCUAAUUCGAGCUCGCUCUUGAAAAUAUUUACGUGCCAGAGAUGAUAAAAUCACCUAGGCACUAGUUUUUAACUUCUUCAACUUCAUCAACUUUAUAAAUAGUAAGAGGGAUCGAUUUGUGUUUGCAUAGUCAACUUAGAGACUCAUGAAAGGAGAGGGAUCGAUUUGCCAAGAUUAACUGAAAUUGGAAAUCUGCUAGAUGCUUUUAAUGAUUGGCUGCAGUUGGGCGCAAACCUCAAACAAAGAAAAUAAAAUUUCCACAACCCACGUCAAUUUGCAAAACAAACACAAGUGAAAUAAAUAACGUACAAACAUGCAUAAAGAGAAGAAAUAAUUAAGCUAUAUAUAUCUACUACUUGGGUGCAAGCCUUGACUUGAUCUUCUCGAUCUGCUUGGUGCCAACUUGGAAUGUCUUAGUCAACACAUCAUCUGCCACUGGAGGUGUGGCGGCAAACAAGGUGAGGGCAAUGUUGGCGGUACCCUGCAACUGAGAGUUAAAUCCGGCGAUCACAGCAGCAGGGACCUUGCCAUUGUUCUUCUGGAAAUGAACCAACCCCUUUGGAAACACAAACACCUCACCUUUGGCAAUGGUCUUGGAAAUGAGCUUGUUUGCUGUGGUGAUGAACCCAACAUUCAGUGCACCUUCAAGAACAUAGACUAUUUCCGUGGCGCGUGGGUGAGUGUGAGGUGGGUUGAUGCCUCCGGGAGCAUAGUCAAUGCGAGCCAUCGACACGCCAAGAGUGUUAAGCCCUGGAAUCUUCUGCACAUUGGCUGCAGUCACCAAAGAGCCGAAGGUGUUGUUGGUGAGUCCUGGCUUGGCCAGUCCGGCGAAGAAGAAGUCCUCCGCUGUUGCAUUUGCCGCGUCCUUGCAAGCGAAACCAUUCAUUUUCGCCGCUGUUCAUUCGUCAGAGUUAGAUUUGGAUCAAACUUU